RNAcentral lists this ribosomal RNA (639 nucleotides) under Trichoderma crassum. Its description in RNAcentral is "eukaryotic LSU rRNA". The stretch from base 256 to 409 matches the Rfam family "5.8S ribosomal RNA". The record is from RNAcentral. Lineage: Eukaryota; Fungi; Ascomycota; Sordariomycetes; Hypocreales; Hypocreaceae.
UGGAAGUAAAAGUCGUAACAAGGUCUCCGUUGGUGAACCAGCGGAGGGAUCAUUACCGAGUUUACAACUCCCAAACCCAAUGUGAACGUUACCAAACUGUUGCCUCGGCGGGAUCUCUGCCCCGGGCGCGUCGCAGCCCCGGACCAAGGCGCCCGCCGGAGGACCAACCAAAACUCUUAUUGUAUACCCCCUCGCGGGUUUUUUACUAUCUGAGCCAUCUCGGCGCCCCUCGUGGGCGUUUCGAAAAUGAAUCAAAACUUUCAACAACGGAUCUCUUGGUUCUGGCAUCGAUGAAGAACGCAGCGAAAUGCGAUAAGUAAUGUGAAUUGCAGAAUUCAGUGAAUCAUCGAAUCUUUGAACGCACAUUGCGCCCGCCAGUAUUCUGGCGGGCAUGCCUGUCCGAGCGUCAUUUCAACCCUCGAACCCCUCCGGGGGGUCGGCGUUGGGGAUCGGCCCUUUACGGGGCCGGCCCCGAAAUACAGUGGCGGUCUCGCCGCAGCCUCUCCUGCGCAGUAGUUUGCACACUCGCAUCGGGAGCGCGGCGCGUCCACAGCCGUUAAACACCCCAAACUUCUGAAAUGUUGACCUCGGAUCAGGUAGGAAUACCCGCUGAACUUAAGCAUAUCAAUAAGCGGAGGA